RNAcentral lists this ribosomal RNA (253 nucleotides) under uncultured bacterium. RNAcentral's name for it is "partial 16S ribosomal RNA". It matches the Rfam family "Bacterial small subunit ribosomal RNA", at positions 524 to 776 of the family's 1533-position model. The record is from RNAcentral.
UACGGAGGAGGCAAGCGUUAUCCGGAAUUAUUGGGCGUAAAGCGUCCGCAGGUGGCACCUCAAGUCUGCUGUCAAAGACCGGGGCUUAACCCCAGAAAGGCAGUGGAAACUGAAGCGCUAGAGUGCAGUAGGGGUAGAGGGAAUUCCUGGUGUAGCGGUGAAAUGCGUAGAGAUCAGGAAGAACAUCGGUGGCGAAGGCGCUCUGCUGGACCAUAACUGACACUCAGGGACGAAAGCUAGGGGAGCGAAUGGG